UCGUGCUUUUCAGCAAUCUACUGAUGCAGCCUGCCGCGUGCAGGAAGACGGUCUUCGGGUGUAAACUUCUUUUAUAUCCGAAGUAAUGACGCUACUAUAUGAAUAAGCACCGGCUAACUCCGUGCCAGCAGGCGCGGGAAUACUAAAGCCCCCGCGCCGCAAUAAUAGG
This 169-nucleotide ribosomal RNA is filed under the name uncultured Sulfurospirillum sp. RNAcentral describes it as "partial 16S ribosomal RNA". Lineage: Bacteria; Pseudomonadati; Campylobacterota; Epsilonproteobacteria; Campylobacterales; Sulfurospirillaceae. The record is from RNAcentral.